Non-coding RNA from Equus caballus (horse), 6813 nucleotides. NCBI's taxonomy places the organism in Eukaryota, Metazoa, Chordata, Mammalia, Perissodactyla, Equidae. The record is from RefSeq and is a predicted model, not a curated record.
AAGAAUAGGAAAGCUAGUUAAGAGGGAGAAAUAAAAAAAACAGUACAGGUGUUUUUCUAGCCAUGCAGAAAUUUUCUUUGUAGAAGAAUUUAAAACUCUAGGUGUGUCUCUGAUUAAGUGGGAUUUUAAUUAGAGAAGAUCAAGACCGUUUUGUAAGUCAAGGCGGAUAGCGCAUCAGAGCUGAAGGGACCUUGAAAAACCUCAGGCCCAGCCUCUGGGUCAGAAGGAGGAGUCUAAGCCAGUCGGUGGGACGGGCAACUGUCUUCCUUUGAACUCCAGGGAGGGAAACGCUACACUUUCAUAGUCCAAUGCAUUUUUCUUAAGUCACUGUGGUGGUUAGGAACGUCUUCCCUGGACCUAAAAGUCCCUCCCAUGACAUUUCUGUGGUCACUUGGUUACUGAGGACUCACACACAAGGAUGAGGACAAUCCACUGUCCACUCCACGGUGAGCAGAGAGCUUGAAGGUUUCUAGGGAAGAACAUAGCUAGGUCGGCCAUCAGAGUUGGACAUUUCUGAGCAGUACAGCUAGGAAAAUUAUGGCUGCGUUAGGAGACACUGGGGAAUUCCUGAGUCUCAGAUUCAGGAUGAGAAGGGCCCUGAAAGUUAAAAAAUUGAUGUAUAGUGCUUUUCUUCAUUUUACAGAUGAUUAAACAUGCUCAGAGAGGUUAGGCACUUGCCUAAGGUCACACAGCUAUUGAAUUGUGGAGCUAGGAUUUGAAUCCAGCUACAAACUUAGUUGUCAUUCGGGUCUUUCAAAAAAGUCAAAAUUGUGUACACUGCAAACAGACACAGAGCCUCAAAGGGUGACUGCAUGCAAACUACCUGGAGAUCUUGCUGAAAUGCAGCUUCUGACUCAGCAAGUCCGCGGUAGGACCAGAGACGAUGCCUUUCUGACAAGCCUCUAGGUGAUACUGAUGCUGCUGGUUCGCUGACCACAAUCUGAGCGGUAAGGACUCAAGAGACCUGUUAAUCACCUCACUGCUCACUCCUCAGGCUGCCUGGUUCUCCUGGGAAUGAAGAUUCACCAAGUGGUCACAUGAUCACUUUGAGAUGGGGGCUAUGAAUAUACAUUCACUCCCAAUUCUUCUCAGCCCUGAAGGAGGAAGCAUCAGCUGGUUGCUCAAAGAGGAUCAGUUGAGGCUUCGAGGCGGGGGAGCUGGACAGAUCACAGCGUUUUACUCGGAGAUAAGGGAAAUAGGAGGACUUGGGUGCAAUUUCUCUGGUCCCAAGACAGGCGCUUCUCCUGGAGACCAGCAGGGGGCGCACAAAGGGCGGAGACCGAGGGGAGGAGCCGCGGAACUGCGCCCCAGGGAGAGGCUGAGCUGGGGGCGGUGGAGGCCGGGAGCUGCUGGGAACUGAGCUGCGCGGAUAAGUUCCUAUUGCUUGCUUACGUGAGAGAGCACUCAGGUGCUCCUGGCAGGCCGGCCCUUCCUAAAGCAGAGGCAGAGGAGCUCACCACUGGAUUUCAAACCAGAACUGUGCUGUCGUUUCUUCUGGAGCAUGCACUUUAGAAGGAAUUAUCCACCCCCAUCCCCAAGCACCCUUUGAAGCUCUGUAUCUGUUUUGCAGUGUACACAAUUUUGACUUUUUUUGAAAGAUCCGAAUGGCAACUAAGUCUGUAGCUGGAUUCAAAUCCUAGCUCCACAAUUCAAUAGCUGUGUGACCUUGAGCAAGUGCUUAACCACUCUGAGCAUGUUUAAUCAUCUGUACAACAGCAACAAUAACAGUUUCUACUUCCCCCAGGGAAGCAUCAUUGGUGGCUUCUGAGGACACCCCAGUGCCUGAACCAGCAAAUCCAGUUAUUAAUGCGUAAUCCUUUCAUAUUUCUUGCUUACUUAAGCAGACGGACAUCAUUUAUCCAACCAUGCCUCACUGGAAAUGGAUUCCUUUUAGAAACCGCUGAAGGGGAACAGAAGGAAACAAUUUCUCAAUACACUGGGGUGGUUUGGUCUUUCUCUUUCCUGCACUCGUCAGAGAUUAUGUAAAAACUUCCUGUUUUCUUUAACAUCUUCAGGGGGCGGUCCCCCAAACCAUGAAACAACAAAACCAGCAGCAUCCAGAGGCGUUGAUGCUCUGAAGACAGUAUGUGGAAAACCCAAAUGGUUUAGGUGCAGAAUGGCUGCUCUUCAUCCCCGCAUUAUGAACUACUGAGCACGCAGUUUUAAAGCAUCUGAUUGAAAGAAAAAUUCCAUCCGAGCGAUUAUUAAAAACUAACAACUAGCAUGACACAUUUAAAAUCUCUGGGAAAAGACAGCGCGCCAAGGAACUGAACAUGUCUACCUGUCUUCCCGUUCAGGCAGCACCAAUAUUCUCAACUAGAAAAUUAACAUCAGAGGCUCUGACAGGGUCCCUGAAGGCAACUCAGCUAAACCUGGCAUGUUGAUGGGCAACUCCAAGGUCAGGAGCCAGAGCAGGAGAGCACUGAGAAGUCUGAUAUUGCAUCCCCUGAAAAUCAUGACACAGACAAUCUGCUAAGAGCAGCGAUAAUCAUUUGGAUUGUGAUGUGAAUUGGAAGCAGUUGGGGGAGGCACGGGAAAAGAAACCUUAUUAAACUCUUAUCCGUUAGACACAGAGAAUGGAAAUGUGAAGAGAUAUGAUGAAACACUUGAGAACUGUCCUGAGAGGAUGUGGAGUCUGUGCUGGGUUAGCAAAAGCAUGGAGAACACGCCUCCACCCCCACCUCCGGACCCCGGGGAAGGUGAGGGAAGGGGGACGGAGAGAGUCAGGCCAGAAGGAGGGGGUCCUGUGUCUCCAGGCCUGCCAGGGGCAGAGGAGGAAAGAUGAUUUUGUUGGCAGUGCCCCAGGGGCUGUGAGCCGGGCUAGGCGGGGCUGGGAACCAGACCUCUGCUGGAAACACAUGUUCCUGCUAUGUGUCCAGCAUCUUGGACCCCCAGGGAGGUUCAUGGAGUGUGGAAGCUGCCCUGGGCAGGGCUGCCCAGGGUGGCUGUGCUCCAGUCUGAGUGGGGAUGGAGUCAUCAAGACAUUUGGCUCCAACCUGCUGUUGGUGGUAACUUCCAAGAUGCAUGAGAUCACGGCAAAAACACUGGGCUGGGUGAGGGGGAACCUGGGUUCCCAUUGUCCUCCGAUCACCCCUUGGGCAUCCUUGUUGAGUUUAACUUCCCUUGUGUUGUUUCUGCACGCGUACCAUGGCGAGGGUGAAGUGGGAGCAUUUUCGUAUGCUGUAAACUCUAAAAUGAUCUAAUGAAACUUGCUGAGCUCAUGACAGCAAUCACAGACCAGGGCACGAUCUUCCCUGGAGUGGAACGUUCACUCUCCCUUUUGGCCAAUUAAUGAGUCUUGGUGGAAAACAAUGUUAUGAAUGUACCCAUAAAAUGAAUAAAUAAAAUGGACACACACACAUCCUGGCCUUAAAUACCAACUUUUUCCUCCCUAAGAAUUUACUCUCAGAGGGGAUUGCUUCUGUGGCUGGAUAAUAUUUUGAGAUUACAAAACUUUUUUCACUCCUUGUAUUUCCGCCUCUCCCUGCCCACCUCCAGCCCUCAGGCAGUCUCCCAACAUCACUGCCCCAGGCCAGGUAUGUGGCAGGAGUGUACCCAGAAAUAGCUUGCAAGUUCUUCUGGCUUUGAUUUCUCAAAAAGGCCCUUAGGUUGAAGACACAGAGGCUUUUCUGGGAGGAAAAGAGAGGAGGGGGGGUUGGCGGGGAGAAGCAGAGAGGCUUAGAAUAAACAGGAAGGGUUUUAAAAUAGGUCUGUGGGCCCCAGAAGGACAGGACGGUAGCAAGACUCCAGAGAGCUGGCUGUGUGGUCAAGAAGCAGCAGAGACUGGCCAGGGAGUGGGGACAUGCUCAGUGGUAACCUGUGUGGACCAGCCUGGUGAGCGGGAUCUCUGGGAUCCCUGCCCCCAGGUCUGGGCAACGCAUAAGAUCCGGAAAUUGUGACGCAACCCUGGGGUAGUUUCUGCUCCCACCAGUCUGGUGAGAUGAAGCCUUCAAACAAAUAUUAAGUUGAUAUCUAGGAAAUGAAAGGAGAGGCAGUAUUUCUUGCACGCCUGAGCGUGUUAGAGAUUCAUACUUGCUAUCCUUUAGUUUUGCAUGUUGGGAAAGAAAAUAAAGUUAGCCUUGGAAUUAUCUAGAACCAGAGGAGUCUCUGACAAAGACAAGGGGGAAUCUCAGAUCAGAGAAAUUCAAGGCUGAAAGCGGAUUUAGAUCUUGCCUUUAUUAUGGGUGGCUGAGGUUCAAAUGCCGGCUCAGUUUCCCAGUCAACAAAAUGGAGUAGUGAUGAAGAUUAAAUGAGAUCGGACAUGUAGCUCAUAUUUUUGGGUCCCUUGUGAUGGCUUGCACGUGGUCGAUUUGUGGACUAUUAAAUUAUUUAUUGACUAUUAAAGCUAGUCUAAUGCACGACGAAGCUGGGUCCAGAGAGAUAACUGGUUUGGUGCCCAUGGACAAGUCAUGCCGUCAGCAGAGCCAGGACUAUGAAUCUUGUAAUAGGGUCAGGAACGUCUCCUUCAAUCUAUGGGCAAGUAUGAAUGUGCUUCUCUUGAAUUACUGGAGUCGUUUAAGCGCCUGGACCCUGAAGCCCCACAUGUCCAGUCUGAAUCCUGGCUCACCACUCAUCACUGUGAUAUCAGCCCUGACAUCACCUGUACUCAAAGCAUGUAUUUCAGCAGAUACCCCCCCCUUGAAUGUCCUAAUAUAACUUCAGAUGCAAUAUGCCCCAUGGUGACUUCAUAAUAUUUGGAAUUUUGAAAAUCCUCCAGAAAACAGAAACAUGGCACUCAGAAGCAUGUAAGUGGACCUCUCCCUGGCCCAGGGACCCAACUCUCGUGUGGCACCACCUCCACCUGCCUCGCAGGUCAUAAGCCAACCUUCUCCUUUACUUUCUUUGUAUAACUAAUCACCAAAUCCCAUUUAUUUCCCUUUCCAUAUGUCUCUAGAGUUGUCCUUCCUCUUACAUUUUCAUCACCCUGGUCCCGCCUUCCAUCCAAUACAUGUUUAUUGGGCACCAUCUCCCAGGAACGAUGUUAGCCAAGGAUGGGGAAUGAUGUUCAUCAAGGAUGAGCCCAACCACUGCCUUCAGGGAGCUAACAGCCAUGAGCAGGGAGGCAGCCACCACAGGGCUUGAUGCUGUCAGAUGAUGUGCCCGCGAUGCAGUGGAGCACAGAGGAGGAUGCGAAAAGCCAGCCCCAGGGAACUUCUUCUCCCAGAGGACAAAGACACUGAGUCCUAAGGACCAGGAGGAGUAAGCUAGGGAUGGCAGUGGGCAGUCCUGGCAGAGGCUGCCGAACAUCAGGGUCAAGGGAGAGGCAGGAGCCCAGGCCUGGGAGUCCCCUUCAGUCAGAGUGGCUCACAAGGUUGAAGAGUGAGUUCAAGGUGAGAGCUGAGGCUGGAGAGGAUACUUGGGGCCCAAGAAAGACCUUGUAUUCCAUUCUGAGGGCAGUGGGGCUGCAGAGGGUUUGGGUAUUGCUGCUGCAUUAAACUCAAACAUCUCCCGGAUUUGGCUCCACCAAAUUUAUCCAAUCUUAAAUUCCCAAUAAUAACACAACCCACACCUUCUGCUCCAAGUAGGUGAAGUUCUUCACUGUGCCCUACAUAUGGCUGGAUUUCAAUCAAGAAACAUAUACCAAACGCCUGCUAUGUGUUAGACACCAACGUUGGCUCAGCGGAUCACAAGAUGAGUGAGACACAGCCCUGCCUCCGUGAGUGGGGCAAAGACCCCUCAACUUAAAUGGGCAAUACAAGGUGACGAGAGCUUCAACUGGCAGGGAGUAAUGGGGGACAAAGAGGAAUUCCCCUACUCUGCCUGAAGACUGCGGGAGGGGCCAGCCAGGGAAGUUUUCAUUGGAGAAGGUGCCAUCUGAGAUGCUUUUUAAAAAUGCAGAGGAUGCCCUGACAGCAUCCUGGGCACAGGUGAGAAAGUGUAAGGAGAGAGGCAUACAAAAAAGGCCUGGUCAGAACCUUCUGGAAGGUCAGUGUGGCAGGGGACACAAGGAGAGUGGCAGUGGCCAGAGUGGAAAGGGAUGCUGGGAAUUUGGACCGCGUCUGGUGGGCUGCGCGUGCCUUUGCUUAUUCUGAGCUCCAUAUUAUCCUUGGGCUUCCUUCCCUCUGCCUGGCCUGGUCCCUGACUGUUGUUUCUAAAUGCAGCUGAAGACUGAGUAGCUCCCUGAAGCCCUCUCUGCCUUUUCCAGCCCACACUGGCUGUCUUCUUUGAACUAGCAGAUGGUAGCACACCAUUUCACACUUAAUUGCUCUCUAAUUAUUUCACAGGUGCUGGGUUUGUCUCCGCCCCUAAAUCUGGAAGGUUCUGAAGGGCAGGAACAAUACCUCAAACGUGAGCUGGUCCCAUAGAGCUGAGCACACCAGAGGUGGUGGCCCACACGUUGGUGGCUGUAAAACCGGCGCCAGGAAUCGAGGAUGCUUGAGAUCUGACUGAAGAUUGAGGUCUGCCUUCUGCUUCUUUUCCACAAUAAGAGUGACACAAACACAUCUGGAUUCCAUAACCCUAUGUUCCCGUGAUUUCCUGUCUGAGUCUGUGAACACGCAGAGACACACGGACAGGCCUAUUUUGAUGUCAACUCUCGGCGAAGCCAAACUUCCCGGUGCAAGGAAAUCAACAAAGAAGGCGCUGAGAUGCUGGGCACAACUUCCUCAGAAGUUUUCCCUCCUUGGAAACAAAACCAAAAGCCUGGCAGGGUCGGCUGUGCAUUCAGACAACAGAAUCUAAAAGCUUCUUGCUUUGCUCAGAGCUAUAACACCCAAGGGGAUGAUCCCAUGCCAUCACUCAGGGUAGACGGAUCAGUCAGGCUCAUAUGCAUGGGUGCGGCCAUAGUGAUUAUUAAAAUAUGCUUGGUAAUAA